Molecule: ribosomal RNA, 253 nt
Filed under: uncultured bacterium
Lineage: Bacteria
Description: partial 16S ribosomal RNA
Rfam family: Bacterial small subunit ribosomal RNA
Source: RNAcentral
UACAGAGGUCUCAAGCGUUGUUCGGAUUCAUUGGGCGUAAAGGGCGCGUAGGCGGCCUAGCAAGUCACUUGUGAAAUCUCCGGGCUUAACUCGGAACUGCCAAGUGAAACUGCUGGGCUAGAGUGCAGAAGGGGCAAUCGGAAUUCUUGGUGUAGCGGUGAAAUGCGUAGAUAUCAAGAGGAACACCUGAGGUGAAGACGGGUUGCUGGGCUGACACUGACGCUGAGGCGCGAAAGCUAGGGUAGCAAACGGG